CAGUGGCCCCUGGGAGCUGGGGCAGCAGGCCCAUCUUAAGGAUGAGUGAACAGAGGCUCCACCUGAGACACCCAUUCCGGUUCCCCAGGCUGGGGAAGCUCAGAGCUGCCUGAUGGCACAGCCGCGUGAGGUUUUAUCUGAGCUGGACUCAGCCUCUAACUCCCAUGCUGCCCAUGGAGGGAGAGAGGAGUCGGCCCCCCCCAAGUCAGGCAGCACAUAAGUUGCUGAGCAGUCCCCUCUGCCUGAGGCCUCAGCCUCCAAAUCUGUCAUCAGAGAGGGUUGUGCUGCCAGGUCCCUCAGCCUCCCCCCAUGUCCUCCUACUCUGGAGCCCAGAGCCCGGCCUAGGUCCAAGUCCUGUUUUCUCUGCAUGCUCCGCCCCCUCUGGGGACCUGGCGGUCGUGCAACAUGAGAAGGGGUGGACAUAAGGGGCUAGUCAGGCUAUGGCAUUCUGUCUGAUGGACUCUGGUUGUCUACCUUCCAGGGGAAUGAGAUCAACCUUAAGAAAGGGACUGAGGAAUACCGAGUCAUGAGGGAGAUGCUGCUGCUCCCAGUGGUUGCAAAGAAUUACAACCAGAGCCGGAGGAGCGAUUUGGGGCCUGAUUCCAGGACAUGGAGCUACUCAACGAGAAUGAUAGUUGAGGCUGUGCAGGAGUUGAGUGAGGGCAGGGGUGGACUCUCCAUGUUGGCCAGUCCAGAGAGCCUGUCUCCGUGGCCCUCUGCUCAGCCCCAGUCCUUAUUGCUUGGCAAACUCUGGGACACCCAGACUCCAGCUGCUGGGCAGGCAGUGGGGGGACACCUGAGGUGUGGCUCCUGGUAGGCUCAGAGGUGCCUCUCUGUACUGUAGCUACAGCCUGUCCUGCCUGCUAGAGCCCCAGACCUAGUUGGCCAGCAGAAUAUUCAAGGCCAAGAAGAACCGGCCAUCAUCAAGUUCAGGGCCCCCAGGCCCCAAUACCGAGCCACGUACCAGUGGCCUAUCACAGCCCCAUCCUCAG
RNA transcript from Diceros bicornis minor, 992 nucleotides. It is a transcript of the gene named ral guanine nucleotide dissociation stimulator-like, with no coding region annotated. The transcript has 3 exons. The record is from RefSeq and is a predicted model, not a curated record. Lineage: Eukaryota; Metazoa; Chordata; Mammalia; Perissodactyla; Rhinocerotidae.